CUUAAGAAACCAGCAUGGUUAAUCGCGACCGCCAACAUCUUCGUCGUAAUCCAUGUCAUCGGUAGUUACCAGAUCUAUGCAAUGCCGGUGUUUGACAUGAUGGAGACUUUAUUGGUCAAGAAGCUAAAUUUCAGACCGACCACAGCUCUUCGGUUCUGUGUCCGUAAUUUCUACGUUGCUGCCACUAUGUUUGUUGGUAUGACGUUUCCGUUCUUCGGUGGCCUUUUGGCGUUCUUUGGUGGAUUUGCGUUUGCUCCAACCACAUACUUUGUA
This is a non-coding RNA of Camelina sativa (false flax), 273 nucleotides long. Lineage: Eukaryota; Viridiplantae; Streptophyta; Magnoliopsida; Brassicales; Brassicaceae. The record is from RefSeq and is a predicted model, not a curated record.